CAGCCGCCACGGGAAUACGUAGGGUGCGAGCGUUAAUCGGAAUUGCUGGGCGUAAAGCGUGCGCAGGCGGUUAUAUAAGUCAGAUGUGAAAUCCCCGGGCUCAACCUGGGAACUGCAUUUGAGACUGUAUGGCUAGAGUGUGUCGGAGGGGGGUAGAAUUCCACGUGUAGCAGUGAAAUGCGUAGAUAUGUGGAGGAAUACCGAUGGCGAAGGCAGCCCCCUGGGAUAACACUGACGCUCAUGCACGAAAGCGUGGGGAGCAAACAGGAUUAGAUACCCCGGUAGUCCCUGUCUCUUAUAC
This 301-nucleotide ribosomal RNA is filed under the name uncultured bacterium. RNAcentral describes it as "partial 16S ribosomal RNA". It matches the Rfam family "Bacterial small subunit ribosomal RNA", at positions 509 to 807 of the family's 1533-position model. The record is from RNAcentral.